GACGAACGCUGGCGGCGUGCCUAAUACAUGCAAGUCGCGCGGACUUCUUCGGAAGUCAGCGGCGGACGGGUGAGUAACACGUGGGCAAUCUGCCUUUCAGACUGGAAUAACGCCUGGAAACGGGUGCUAAUGCCGGAUAGGCAACGAGUAGGCAUCUACUGGUUGGGAAAGGUGCUACGGCACCACUGAAAGAGGAGCCCGCGGCGCAUUAGCUAGUUGGUGGGGUAACGGCCUACCAAGGCGACGAUGCGUAGCCGACCUGAGAGGGUGACCGGCCACACUGGGACUGAGACACGGCCCAGACUCCUACGGGAGGCAGCAGUAGGGAAUCUUCGGCAAUGGGCGCAAGCCUGACCGAGCAACGCCGCGUGAGCGAAGAAGGCCUUCGGGUUGUAAAGCUCAGUCAUCCGGGAAGAGAGACCAGGGGAGGGAAUGCCCCUGGAGAGACGGUACCGGGAGAGGAAGCCCCGGCUAACUACGUG
RNAcentral lists this ribosomal RNA (482 nucleotides) under uncultured bacterium. RNAcentral describes it as "bacterial SSU rRNA". It matches the Rfam family "Bacterial small subunit ribosomal RNA", at positions 28 to 507 of the family's 1533-position model. The record is from RNAcentral.